RNAcentral lists this ribosomal RNA (253 nucleotides) under uncultured bacterium. Its description in RNAcentral is "partial 16S ribosomal RNA". It matches the Rfam family "Bacterial small subunit ribosomal RNA", at positions 524 to 776 of the family's 1533-position model. The record is from RNAcentral.
UACGUAGGGUGCGAGCGUUAAUCGGAAUUACUGGGCGUAAAGCGUGCGCAGGUGGUUGUGUAAGUCAGAUGUGAAAUCCCCGGGCUCAACCUGGGAACUGCAUUUGAGACUGCACAGCUAGAGGAUGGCAGAGGGGGGUAGAAUUCCACGUGUAGCAGUGAAAUGCGUAGAGAUGUGGAGGAAUACCGAUGGCGAAGGCAGCCCCCUGGGCUAUUUCUGACACUCAUGCACGAAAGCGUGGGGAGCAAACAGG